Lolium perenne is the source of this 1320-nucleotide long non-coding RNA. RefSeq lists it as uncharacterized. NCBI's taxonomy places the organism in Eukaryota, Viridiplantae, Streptophyta, Magnoliopsida, Poales, Poaceae. The record is from RefSeq and is a predicted model, not a curated record.
GGGUAAUCACCCCAAGCGUGGUGUUUCUCUUCAACAUCAUAAGAGACAGGUACAACUUAGUGGGCGGCUGCUCCAUUGUGCCAUUCCGUGGGGAUACAUGGGAUAGGUGGUCUUUGGUUGCUCACGCUUGGCGACGACUACAGAGGCGUCAAUGGCGUGGUGCCAUGCCAUGGGAAGACCGGGCGGGCGGCGACACACGGCCAGAGGGAGGGUGUGGUGGAACUCGCACUCGACUGUAGAGGAUGCUAUAAACGGAUUUUACAGUAGCAUGGAGUUUUUGACCUGCUCAUAUAUGAGUGUGCCGAUGCAUAAUGAAAGGGCAGGGCAGCAUCAAAAACCUAUACGGUUAGCAAAUCAAACAAGAACCAAGUCAAUCGGUGAAUUAGAUAAACAUUUGAACCCACUCUACGUUUUGUUAUCUGAGGAGGACUGGAUGGUGAAUGACAAAACUAUGCAUAGAAGUAGAGAGCUCACAAUAUACAGACAAAUGAGAAUGUUCUCAGCUAGGCAAGAAGAUAUGUUGGCCAAGCUGCUGGUAUAAUAUGAGGACUAAUUGGUGCAUGAGAGUUGAUUUCGUGUAUAAGUGACAUUGUUUCCAUAUGUGGAUUCUGGUCUGGGUUAUUAAGAAUGGACCAUACAUUUUAGUCUUAUAUGCCCAAUAUUGCUUGAAUCGAAGCUGUCUGUCGGCUACACUUUCAAAGGGAGUUGAACAAACGGAGUAGGGUAGCAAUACUGCACUACCAACGACAUCAUAGAGGCCACCGAUUCAGACUUAGGAGAGGUAAGAAAAUGAAACAAACAAUAAAAUGUUUCAAUUCCCAGUAACAAUCUUAUAUGUAAACCAUCUCAUGUUUUUAUGACAUAACAUAGGCUCUACAACAGAGAGCAAAAAAGAAAAAACAAAAAUCAACUAUGACAUCAGCGAGAAAAAGGUGAAUGCCUACAUCUAACCUAUAAGACCAAACUGAAUCAAUACUGUCACCUCAUAGGCAGUCUACUUUUGCAGUGCAACUAAUGAAAAGAUCGAGAGAGGUAAACAAGGAACUGUUCCCACCUAAAAAAAGGAGUUUCAACUGAUAAACUGAAUGAACAACACCAUGUCGCUGCACUUUUUUCCUUCACAAUCAGGACAAUGAGUGCCUUUUGUGCACUCCAGCCCAUGUGGUUUAGAAAUUGAAGACACACAGGGAGUUCAACUGGUGAAUCAGAGAUUCGCCAUCAAGUUACCAAGCUAUCAACUUACUGUCAAAUUAUAAUGUGUAAUAUAAUUGGCCUAUGUGCCAUUUCAGGAGCAAGUACUUUUGCCGUAUCACUGCAUAA